Molecule: long non-coding RNA, 823 nt
Organism: Quercus lobata
Lineage: Eukaryota; Viridiplantae; Streptophyta; Magnoliopsida; Fagales; Fagaceae
Exons: 3
Source: RefSeq, a predicted model, not a curated record
ACCUCUAGUAGGUAUGAAUACCAGAAACUCCUCAUUUUCAGGUGCUGAAGAAUUUUCUUGACACCGCUGAAGCUGAAGUUAGGUCACUUAUCUCCUUGUAUUCUGAAGUGGGAAGAAAUGCAGAUUCAUUGUCCCAGUACUUUGGGGAGGAUCCAGCUCGGUGCCCCUUUGAGCAAGUGACACAAAUCUUGGUUGUCUUUGUUAAGACGUUCAAUAAGUCACGAGAUGAGAAUGAAAGGCAGGCUGAUGCUGAAAAGAAGAAAUUGGAGAAGGAAGCCAUGAAAGAACGGACAGCAGCUAAUUCAUCCACAAGGAGAGAUGGUGUUCAACAGAGCAGCAUGAAACAGCAUGAAACCCACAUAAAUUCUUAGGAAGAUGCAAGAGGCAGAUUGCUUCUUGAAUAUGUCAGCCCAGCACUUUUGGGCUGACAUUAAUCGAUGGAGGUUGACUCAUGCAUUCAAAUUGCACGAACCCAAAAUCAGACAGCUGAAGUGGCAAGUUGCUGCUUUUCUGGGAAUCACUUUGGCAGUGCAGAUGUGUCUCACAAUGCACAGUUUACUUGUCCAAAAUCACGCAAUUUCAGGGAAAGUUGACACAUUUUGCUAUUAUCAGGUACAGCCUUUGCCUUUCAUGUAAAUCAAUGACAUUAUGGCCUGCUCAAAUUGUAUUCAAUCUGUAUAUAAUUUAGGAAAGGCACACUUAGCAUUAGCAGAGCGGAAGCCCUCUCCCCUUCUUCCCAACAAAAUGUCUCAUGCUAUAUAGAUUUAAAAUUUUGUAGCAGCUGCAAUAGUUGCAAGUUUAGCCGGUUGAUUCUUUUCUUUCA